AAACAUUUCCUCUUAGAUAAAGAGGUAAGGCCUGCUCACUGAAUUUUAAAGAGCCGCAGUAUUCUAACUGUGCUAAGGUAGCAUAAUCAUUAGUCUUUUAAUUGAAGACUGGUAUGAAUGGCUUAACGAGAAAUUAACUUUUUUUGUUAUAAAAAUUGAAUUUAAUUUUUUAGUGAAAAAGCUAAAAUUGUUCAGAAAGACGAGAAGACCCUAUAGAGUUUUAUGUUUUAAAAAUAAAUUUUUAUUAGAUUUUGAAUUAUUAAUUUUUAUAAACAUUUUGUUGGGGCGACAUAAAGAUAAAUAAAACUCUUUAUAUUAAAAAUUUUUAUAAAAAUAUUCUUGAUCCUUUAUAAGAGAUUAUAAGAAAAAAUUACCUUAGGGAUAACAGCGUAAUCUUUUUUGAGAGUUCUAAUCGACAAAAAGGUUUGCGACCUCGAUGUUGGACUAAAAUUUAGGCAGGGUGCAGCAGUUCUGCUUUAAGGUCUGUUCGACCAAUAAAA
RNAcentral lists this ribosomal RNA (500 nucleotides) under Savignium crenatum. RNAcentral's name for it is "partial 16S ribosomal RNA". It matches the Rfam family "Bacterial large subunit ribosomal RNA", at positions 1811 to 2593 of the family's 2925-position model. Lineage: Eukaryota; Metazoa; Arthropoda; Thecostraca; Balanomorpha; Pyrgomatidae. The record is from RNAcentral.